RNAcentral lists this long non-coding RNA (409 nucleotides) under Homo sapiens (human). RNAcentral describes it as "HSALNT0079358". The record is from RNAcentral. Lineage: Eukaryota; Metazoa; Chordata; Mammalia; Primates; Hominidae.
ACUGCAAGGAGAUCGGGGCUGACGUGGCUGGCCAAUUCACAACCUGUCUCUAAUGUAUUCCCAUUUGAGAAACUGAUCAUGGACAGCUAAGUGAAAUGGUCUGACUUCUCUCCUGGAGGCUCCCUCACUCUCUUCUGCCAGAAAUGAGACCCGGGGAAAAACAGCGGUAUCAUCUAUAUCCCUGCUGAACUUCCUGUACUGCACAUAUUGGAGGACUCAGUCACCGACUUGCCUGUGGUUGCUAUGAGUCGCCUACAGAACUGAAAAUGGGAAGCAGAACUAGGCUGGUUGUACUCCUAACCACAAGGACACUCUCCUCCUCAAAUGAAAAGGCUCUAAUUAAAAGGCAGGAAAGAUCAGGUAUCUCUGGAGUUCACUUUUAAAAUUGUCAAAAAAAACCUCAAAGUCG